This 147-nucleotide ribosomal RNA is filed under the name Triticum aestivum (bread wheat). RNAcentral describes it as "partial small subunit ribosomal RNA". The record is from RNAcentral. Lineage: Eukaryota; Viridiplantae; Streptophyta; Magnoliopsida; Poales; Poaceae.
CAGGUUGUAGAAGGUAUUGCGAGACAUCCAGAAGCAAAAGUUAAAAUACAAGGUACUUGAUUGCUUAGUCUAGCUUUUAUGGAAGUUUUAACAAUUUAUGGACUAGUUGUGGCACUAGCGCUUUUAUUUGCGAACCCUUUUGUUUAA